Non-coding RNA from Durio zibethinus, 1189 nucleotides. The record is from RefSeq and is a predicted model, not a curated record. NCBI's taxonomy places the organism in Eukaryota, Viridiplantae, Streptophyta, Magnoliopsida, Malvales, Malvaceae.
UUUAAAAAAAAAAAAAAUUGACCUAUAAACUUAGGUCGAAUCGAAAUUCACCGAAUUAAGUUACCCACCCUAUUUACCUCUGCCUUCCCUAAUUUUUAUUCUACAUUUGUUAAAAAGUUAUUCUUCUUACUUUGAUGAUACUUCUCGUUAUCCAGAUUCCGCUUCUUCGACGUUCGUUCAAUGCCUAAACCGCCGCGUUUCAACCGCCACCUCCGACCUGAACCUUCUCGAUUCCAUGUCCUUCGGCACCGUUUCAUUCGAGGAACUCUUAGGUCACUGUUAUCAAAUCUUUAACAAGAACCAAACCAAUCUUCUCGAUCUCGAAGAUCAUCUUAAGCCUCACGGUUACCUCCCCUAAAUUGAAGAUGAGGUGGAAGAGGAAGAGGAAAUUUUGGAUUCAAAGGAGAGACCUUUCGCGGUCACUAGUUCAGCAAUGAAGUGCUUGGAAGAAGAUCCUCUGUUUCUUGGUUAAUCACUGAGUCUAAAGAAUUUCGGGCUCUCUGAUGUUUGUCUCGCCACUAUAGCAUCUCAAGCUAAUCAAAAGAUUGAUGACUCGGAUUUAUCUUAUGAAGGAAUACAUUAAGUGUUUGGAGUUUUAAAAGUUCUUUAUAUUGUACAAUGGAGAUAAACAAAGCAACAUUAAGAGUACAUACAAGCCGGCUACAGACACGGUUGAAGUAACCGAAGGUAGAAAUUACCGAGUUUUUCACACUUCAAAUCCCCUUGUCUAUCCAUCUCUCAGGUUUACGACUAGAAAUAGCAGGCACUAACCGGUAUUAUUAUGUUAAAUUAUAAUACGCCAUGAAAUGUUGGACAAGGGGAAAAUGACCUAAAUCUGGUUGAAGCUCCGAGGCAUGUAAUACAAGUAUCCAGGGAUGGUUAUGAGAGUCUUCCCUCUUAUAUGACAAGCCUAGCAUCAUGGGAGGAUCUUCUUGCUGCUGUUGAGAAGAUCAACUCAAGUUUGAGCAAGACACAGAAAACAAAAGGAUAUAACUAUUUCCACCAAGAUGAAAUUCAAUCCUUGGACUUGGGCCUAAGGAACGAGCUUACUUGCUGCUGUUAGUGCGCAUGAAUCAUCUUGUUGUAGAUACUAUUGGUGGGCUGAUUUCUUAUUUAGUCUUGUAAAUAAGAUCCGAACCGAUAAUAGUUUAAUGAACUUUACCAGUUCAUUUGCUUGAUGUGCAACAUA